Molecule: ribosomal RNA, 468 nt
Filed under: uncultured bacterium
Lineage: Bacteria
Description: partial 16S ribosomal RNA
Rfam family: Bacterial small subunit ribosomal RNA
Source: RNAcentral
GACGAACGCUGGCGGCGUGCUUAACACAUGCAAGUCGAACGGAAAGGCCCUGCUUGCUUGCGGUGAUGGGGGGGGGAAGGGGUGAGGAGGAGGAAAGUAACCUGACCUUGAUUUUGGGAUGAGAUAAGGUAACUAAGGCUAAUAACGGACAGGAGAUCACGUUGGUGUGUAGGGAGGGGAUAGUCUAGGCGGGUGGGGAUGGAUCCGCGGAUCAUCAGCUUGUUGGUGGGGGAGUGGCUGACCACGCCUGUGACCGGUAGCCGGCCGGUGAGGGUGACCGGCGACAUUGGGACUGAGAUACGGCGCAGUCUCCUACGGGAGGCAGCAGUGGGGAAUAUUGUACAAUGGGCGCAAGCCUGAUGCAGCGACGCCGCGUGCGUGAUGACGGCCUGCGGGUUGUAAACCGCUUUCGCCUGGGACGAAGCGUGAGUGACGGUAACGGGAGAAGAAGCACCGGCUAACUACGUG